This is a long non-coding RNA of Papaver somniferum (opium poppy), 1393 nucleotides long. RefSeq lists it as uncharacterized. NCBI's taxonomy places the organism in Eukaryota, Viridiplantae, Streptophyta, Magnoliopsida, Ranunculales, Papaveraceae. The transcript has 2 exons. The record is from RefSeq and is a predicted model, not a curated record.
UUCUUUCUUCCUCUUUCUUCUUCUUCUCUCCCUCUCUCCUGUUCUUGCCGCUGAUGAGAAUUUGUGAAACGAGUUCGAGUCUUUUGAGUUCGUCAUGUGAGGCAAAUAUCAAGGAUUGAAUUUUCCGUGGUAAAAAUGAUUGAGAAGUGGAAUUAGAUUCUAAGGAGAAGGUUAAACAGAAAGAGAAAGUUAGGGUUCCUGAGUUGAGUUUUGUAAAUAAAAUUGAUGUUGAAUAAGAGAUGUUAAUGGAUAAAGAAAAGAGGGGUUGUUGUUAUAUUAAGGAGGUAAAGAUUAUCUGAUGAUGAAUCGAAAGAAAAAGAUUUGUUGAGAAUUGAAUCAGUUAAUUAGGGCUUCUUCUAACUGUUUUGAUUUGUCUUAGAAGAAGAAAUUAAAGAUGUUGAAGACUAUAAGUCGUGAUUUAAAAAGGAAUUUGAUGGGUAUAAGAUGAACUGGUUAACAAAUUGAGGUAAUUGCUCUCUCGGCAACUUAGUAAAGUUAUUGAUUUCAAAUAAUGAGUUUUAAGUUAUGGUUGUUGAUGAAUAUGUGAUGAAAUUGAAGUUUAUAGUAUGUUGAAAUCAAGUAAGUUAAUAGAACUGGUGGUGUUGUGAUAAAUGUUGUUAUUGAAGUUUAAGUGUGCUAGAGUUGGAGUUGUUAUGGUCUGGAUGAAUGAGUGAUUGCAGGAUAUGAGGUUUGUUAACUAGGGAUAAUGAAUUGGAGUUGUUGGCGAUGUUGUAAUGUUGGUGGUGGUGAUUAUGAGAGUCUCGGAUAGUAAUGGGAGUUACUGAAAUGGAGAAGAUGUGUUGAAUGAUAUAUAGAAUCUGUUUGAUAUGGAAUUGUUAUGAAGAUGAAAGGGUUAAGGUUGGGAACUGAUGAUGUCACAGGCUGUUGGAGAUUGAGUUAGUAAUGGUGCUGGUUCUGCAAUUAUUGAUGUUGAGGUGUGGAAUGAAUGUUGCAGUUAUAACUAAUGGGUUGUAAAGGUUAUGUUUGUUGGAUGUUGUAGUGAAGAACUAGAAGUGAUGAAGCUUUGAAUAGCAAGGCCAUGGGGUGAUGUCGAGUUAUCGAUUUGUGGUGUUGAGAACUGGUCAUGAAUUGUGUUGUGUGACUUGAAACUGAGGCUGAUAUGGGUUGGGUAUGGAUGUGGAUGUGAUAGACACUGGGCUAGUAUUGUAGAAUGCAAGUAUAACUGUACCUAGUAAAGUUGAGACAUUAUCUAAGGGUGAAGAAGAACUGAAAGAGGUUGUACUGCAAUUGCAGGAUGAACCAGUGGAUCGUGGAUCUCGAGGUAGGCAUGGCUUGUCAUCAAAUCAGGUGGGAACUCUGUAACCUUCUUGUAAUCAUUGAGCUUUGUUUCUAUCUGCAAGCAUGAUGUGUUUUUAAUAUCUGUGUGUACAAU